RNAcentral lists this ribosomal RNA (464 nucleotides) under uncultured bacterium. RNAcentral's name for it is "partial 16S ribosomal RNA". It matches the Rfam family "Bacterial small subunit ribosomal RNA", at positions 28 to 506 of the family's 1533-position model. The record is from RNAcentral.
GACGAACGCUGGCGGCGUGCUUAACACAUGCAAGUCGAACGGAAAGGCCCUGCUUGCAGGGUACUCGAGUGGCGAACGGGUGAGUAACACGUGGGUGAUCUGCCCUGCACUUCGGGAUAAGCCUGGGAAACUGGGUCUAAUACCGGAUAGGAGCCAUUUUUAGUGUGAUGGUUGGAAAGUUUUUUCGGUGUAGGAUGAGCUCGCGGCCUAUCAGCUUGUUGGUGGGGUAAUGGCCUACCAAGGCGGCGACGGGUAGCCGGCCUGAGAGGGUGGACGGCCAAAUUGGGAAUGAGAUACGGCCCAGACUCCUACGGGAGGAAGAAGGGGGGAAUAUUGCAAAAUGGGCGAAAGCCUGAUGCAGCGACGCCGGGGGGGGGAUGACGGCCUUCGGGUUGUAAACCCUUUUCGCUAGGGAAGAAGCUUUUUGGGACGGUACCAAGAUAAGAAGCACCGGCUAAAUACGU